AGAUACCGUGCGGGAGAGUCCUCCGCCCCCCGGGGCCGGGGGCGCCGAAGGAGCAAAUCCUCCCCGGAAUCUCUCAGGCACCCGUACCGCACGGGCGAG
This 99-nucleotide non-coding RNA is filed under the name Streptomyces fradiae. Its description in RNAcentral is "Glycine sequence". It matches the Rfam family "Glycine riboswitch aptamer". From Rfam's summary of the family: This family represents the bacterial glycine riboswitch. Glycine riboswitches usually consist of two metabolite-binding aptamers domains with similar structures in tandem. The record is from RNAcentral. Lineage: Bacteria; Bacillati; Actinomycetota; Actinomycetes; Kitasatosporales; Streptomycetaceae. RNAcentral also lists the same sequence under 1 other name.